Oxyura jamaicensis (ruddy duck) is the source of this 379-nucleotide long non-coding RNA. RefSeq lists it as uncharacterized. NCBI's taxonomy places the organism in Eukaryota, Metazoa, Chordata, Aves, Anseriformes, Anatidae. The record is from RefSeq and is a predicted model, not a curated record. The transcript has 2 exons.
CCUGCUGCUGGCCCAGCCUCUGCUUCCCCUGGGACAGGGGCUGGAGGUGGCUCAGGUUCCCAGGAUAAAAACCUGAUCCCCACGGGCAUCCCCUGCUUGCUGGCCUUCAUCCUCCUCAUCCUCCCCACAGCCAGCAGGGACCGAGACAAAUCAGCCCGGUUUGGUUUUGAUGCCUGAGUGCAGCCAAUUUAACGGCGCUCUCAGGUCUGUCCCAGCACGUCCCCAUCACCCUCCCGCCGGCUCUGAGAGCUUUUGCACAGCGUGAGCUUGCAGAGAGAGAUUAAAAAAAUGCGAGAACGGUGCAAAGGGUCAGAGUGAGCCCCUCUAACGGUGACUUCUACGUGGCACCAAAUAAACAAUUUCAACUGGUCUCCAGAAA